Molecule: ribosomal RNA, 920 nt
Filed under: uncultured bacterium
Lineage: Bacteria
Description: bacterial SSU rRNA
Rfam family: Bacterial small subunit ribosomal RNA
Source: RNAcentral
AGAGUUUGAUCAUGGCUCAGAACGAACGCUGGCGGCGCGUCUUAAGCAUGCAAGUCGAACGGCAAGGCAGGUGCUUGCACCUGCCCUAGAGUGGCGGACUGGUGAGUAACACGUGGGUGACAUGCCUUUUAGUUGGGGAUAGCUACUAGAAAUAGUAGAUAAUACCGAAUGUGAUCAAUAUUUAUAGAUGAUGUUGAGGAAAGGAGCUAAGGCUUCGCUAAAAGAUUGGCCCGCGGCCCAUUAGCUAGUUGGUAGGGUAAAGGCUUACCAAGGCGAUGAUGGGUAUCCGGCCUGAGAGGGUGAUCGGACACAUUGGGACUGAGAUACGGCCCAGACUCCUACGGGAGGCAGCAGCUAAGAAUAUUCCACAAUGGACGAAAGUCUGAUGGAGCGACGCCGCGUGGAUGAUGAAGGCCGAAAGGUUGUAAAAUCCUUUUACACUGGAGGAAUAAGCAGAGUAGGGAAUGACUCUGUGAUGACUGUACAGUUUGAAUAAGCAACGGCUAAUUACGUGCCAGCAGCCGCGGUAACACGUAAGUUGCGAGCGUUGUUCGGAAUUAUUGGGCGUAAAGGGCAUGUAGGCGGAUUUGCAAGCUUGAUGUGAAAUCCCGCAGCUUAACUGCGGAACUGCAUUGGGAACUGCAAGACUAGAGUUACUGAGGGGAAACUAGAAUUCCAAGUGUAGGGGUGAAAUCUGUAGAUAUUUGGAAGAAUACCAAUGGCGAAGGCAAGUUUCUGGCAGAUAACUGACGCUGAGGUGCGAAGGUGCGGGGAGCAAACAGGAUUAGAUACCCUGGUAGUCCGCACAGUAAACGAUGUACACUAGGUGUUUGACCAUGAGGUUGAGUGCCAUAGCUAACGCAAUAAGUGUACCGCCUGGGAAGUAUGCCCGCAAGGGUGAAACUCAAAGGAAUUGACGG